AGAAAUCUCUUUAAAAUGGAAUUCUUUGCAGGGGAUUGUUAGUUGGUCUAUCACUGUUCUCAAGUAGCUGAGGAUAUAUGUUAUUUGUGAAAAAAAUGAGUUGCUACCAUUGUUGAACUACUCUGCUACCAUGUCAAGAAAUUGGUCUAACUGUUGAAGAUAUUGUCCAUUUUAGGUGCCUGCUCUUCAUACAUCUCGCACUCUGUUGUCUCAUUGUAACGCAGAAAAACCGCUGAAAAGGUAUUAUUCCAGACACAUUCAUUUGAUCCCCCAACUAAUAAUUAGAUUUCUAUUUGUACCUUUACUUUCAAGAAAUUAACUUGACCAGCUCUGGCUGAAGCUGAAAAUUGAUGCCAGUUUUAUUAGUGAAACAUGCCAAAGCUCAUGGCUGGCGAUAUGCCACAGGUUCAGUUAUGUUGCGUGUGGGUGUGCAUGUCGCCACAUUCAGAGCUUCAAAGAAGCAGCCUCAGGAAGCUAUAGCUUGCAUGGAAGGAGUCUGGCGCCGUCCGUUUCAAGCCUACCAGUGAUCGGAUCGCCGGGAGACAUUAAUUGAGAUGUUGAGGAUCUGAAAACGUAUGGACCAGCAGAUCUUCAAUUGCAAGGGUAUUAGAAAAACAAGAAAACAAAACAACUUAGGCUGCUACCAGGCUAAGGGUGGUGCUGAUUAUUGACAUUAAAAGUAAUGAAGAUGCACAUAUUCUGGUUUAGUAGAGACUAGAGAGGUGUCAAGUGUGGUGUUUGCAAGAUCUGCAACCUCUCGUGUUGAGAGUUACAUCGCACGAUUUUAAUACUACCUCUUAACCUUGAUUAAUAUACACCUAUUUUAUUAGCCGCUUUUGGAAGUUGCAUACAUUUCAU
Molecule: long non-coding RNA, 858 nt
Filed under: Triticum aestivum (bread wheat)
Lineage: Eukaryota; Viridiplantae; Streptophyta; Magnoliopsida; Poales; Poaceae
Description: long non-coding RNA (TAES_LNC009395)
Source: RNAcentral